GCGAGUCCACCAAGACAGUC
Molecule: microRNA, 20 nt
Filed under: Ananas comosus (pineapple)
Lineage: Eukaryota; Viridiplantae; Streptophyta; Magnoliopsida; Poales; Bromeliaceae
Description: microRNA s1239_c026b
Source: RNAcentral